This 491-nucleotide ribosomal RNA is filed under the name uncultured bacterium. RNAcentral's name for it is "bacterial SSU rRNA". It matches the Rfam family "Bacterial small subunit ribosomal RNA", at positions 28 to 507 of the family's 1533-position model. The record is from RNAcentral.
GAUGAACGCUAGCGACAGGCCUAACACAUGCAAGUCGAGGGGCAGCGGGGAGGUAGCAAUACCUUUGCCGGCGACCGGCGCACGGGUGAGUAACACGUAUGCAAUCCACCUGUAACAGGGGGAUAACCCGGAGAAAUCCGGACUAAUACCCCAUAAUAUGGGCGCUCCGCAUGGAGGGCUCAUUAAAGAAGCAAUUUUGGUUACAGACGAGCAUGCGCUCCAUUAGCCAGUUGGCGGGGUAACGGCCCACCAAAGCGACGAUGGAUAGGGGUUCUGAGAGGAAGGUCCCCCACAUUGGAACUGAGACACGGUCCAAACUCCUACGGGAGGCAGCAGUGAGGAAUAUUGGUCAAUGGUCGGCAGACUGAACCAGCCAAGUCGCGUGAGGGAAGACGGCCCUACGGGUUGUAAACCUCUUUGUCGGAGAGUAAAGUACGACUACGUGUAGCGUAUUGCAAGUAUCCGAAGAAAAAGCAUCGGCUAACUCCGUG